Molecule: ribosomal RNA, 596 nt
Filed under: uncultured organism
Description: bacterial SSU rRNA
Rfam family: Bacterial small subunit ribosomal RNA
Source: RNAcentral
GAAGCUAGUACAGUGGCGGACGGGUGAGUAACGCGUGAUNAUCUACCCUCGGGAGGGGGAUAGGAGGCGAGCGGAUGGGUAAUCCCCCAUGAGACCACGGCAUCGCAUGGUGCAGUGGUCAAAGAGUUGGGCUCUUCGGACCUUCUGCCCGAGGAUGGGAUCGCGUCCUAUUAGCUUGUUGGUGGGGUAACGGCCUACCAAGGCGAUGAUGGGUAGCCGGCCUGAGAGGGUGGUCGGCCACACUGGGACUGAGAGACGGCCCAGACUCCUACGGGAGGCAGCAGUGCUGAAUCAUUCGCCAAUGCGCGAAAGCGUGACGGUGCGACGCCGCGUGCGGGAUGAAGGCUUUCGGGUUGUAAACCGCUGUCAGGGUUUAGGACGCCGCCGACGUGAAUAGCGGCGGCGUUGACCAGGCCCAAAGGAAGCGCAGGCUAACCUCGUGCCAGCAGCCGCGGUAAGACGAGGUGCGCGAGCGUUGUUCGGAAUCACUGGGCAUAAAGCGUGCGUAGGCGGUCUGGUAAGUCGGAUGUGAAAUCCCCCGGCUCAACCGGGGAAUUGCACUCGAUACUGCCAGGCUUGAGAGCGAAAGGGGCAAG